RNAcentral lists this long non-coding RNA (1195 nucleotides) under Sparus aurata (gilthead seabream). RNAcentral's name for it is "lncRNA (ENSSAUG00010017320.1)". The record is from RNAcentral. Lineage: Eukaryota; Metazoa; Chordata; Actinopteri; Spariformes; Sparidae.
AAUGUCAAAAUCUACAAUGACGGCUCCUACCUCGUCUGGCACUCACUCAUUGGCACUGGUACUCUUCAAUCGAUCCAACUCGAUAGCAGCCUUGGUAGUACACACAUGGUGGCUUUAUACGUAAAGGGAACUAAGGUAUGCUCUCUCAUACACGUGUGUAAAAAAAACUGAUUGGCAUCCAAUCAAUUUAUAUUUAAAGACAUCCGGAGUGAGGAAGAGAACUUUUUAUUUUAAUGCAAUAUUGCUUUUAAUAUACGACUGUGCAGAGGGAGCAUAUAUAUAUUUAAAAAAAAUGUUUUAAAUAUAUCUAAAAAUGUCUUUUAUAAUCCGGUUAUUCCCUGAUUGCAAUUUUUAUUUCCUGAGGCAGAGAAGUGUCAAUAGAUGCAGCAUGUUGCAGAGUCUGCUGCUCUUAAUGCGCCUGUGGACAUAGAUGCACUUUGAAGGUGUUCCGCAGAAGCUGCAGCACUCCGACACCUGCGGAGCGAGAAUGCGACUACUUAAUGUGCAGGUAUUAGCUGCGUAAAGACAGGGCAGGGCUUGGCCAGAUCAUAACUCGGGAUUUUCACUGCUUUCUUUCUUUUCGUUGCCGGGCCCAGGACAGGGGGGAGGCUACAUGGAUUGGUGGACGUCGCUGGCAGCGAGCAUUGCCCUGCUGUGGAUUUUCUGCUUUAUAGACGGCAAUGCCGUGCUUGAGCUGCGGCUGCUCUUCCACGCUCUCACCAAAGCUGCUUGCCACCUGUACCUGGCCCUGCUCCCGCUGCGCCGAGCCGCCACCCACUUCGCCGACUGCGCGAGGUACCUGAUCAACCAUGCCCAGCAGAGCCCCUCUCCCCACGGCUACCACCACCAGAGCCAGCCGCUGGCCAGGAAAGGCACGCUGCACUUCCUGGAGGGCAUGUGCGUGGUGUGCGAGACGGUGCCCAACCUGAUGGGCGCGGCGCUCAGCGUGGGCGCCGCCUUCUGCCACAUGAUGCAGGGAGCCUUCUACGUCCUGGCGGCCACGCUGCGCACCAUCCAGGUCAACCUCUUCUCCCAAAUGAACGGCGAGAAGGACAGAUGGGACAAAGAGCGGCACAGAGCCAAGGAGAGCGAGAAGAAGCUAAAUUCUAAAGUGUUGGAAUACAUCUCGGUGUUCUGUCAAGACCCUGUCAGCGCUUUACGCAUCAAAGUUGACGUCCCACCUGUCUAUAGAUAA